This 970-nucleotide long non-coding RNA is filed under the name Capsicum annuum. RNAcentral describes it as "long non-coding RNA (CANN_LNC006147)". The record is from RNAcentral. Lineage: Eukaryota; Viridiplantae; Streptophyta; Magnoliopsida; Solanales; Solanaceae.
GUGUUUCUCCUCCCAAAGAUGCAGCGAUCGGUCACCAUCACCCUUUUCUCUUUCAAUUCAUAAACCACUAACCCCCUUUUACUUCUCUUCCUCCUCCCCUUCUCUCUCGUGUCUAAACCGCAACCCUAGCACUGCCAUGGCAGCCAUGGUUGUUGCCCCUAUGCAAGAAUCUCCCCAAAACUUGCCUCUUCCACCACCUAAAAUCCAAAAUCAUAAAAAGCAAGGCUCAAAAUUCGUGUAAGGAUGGAAAAUAGGUCCUAGCAGUCAUUAAUGGCAUCAAAAUCGAAGAUCUCAUUCAAAUCUUCACCCCCUUUUCUCAUAUUUUUAUUGUAUAGGUUUCAAAUUCGGACCUUUCAAGUCUGGAUUUGCACCUAUAAAUGGGGGAGGGGUUGGACAGUGAAGGAACAAGAGAGAAGGGAGGAGAAGACACAGAUCAGGAAGGAACCUUCAUUUUUUUGUUUCAUUUUUCCCAUCAUCAGCAUAAAUACACAUAUAUACGACAUUACUCAUACACACACAGUAACAAAACACACCAAUAACUAUCGGAUAUGUCUCCCUCCCAUCCUCUCCGGUGAACCCCGCUACUGCCAUCUCCUUCCUCCUCUGUUAUGCUGCUAGCUCGUCGGAGGUGAUGGCCGGCGAGCUUUGACCUCUAGCCGCGCCACCAGCACCAACGUGCCUAGCAUUUCUCCCUUCACCAGCCACAGAAGAAACCACCAACGCCGACCAGCCAGAUCUGGUCGAGAAACUAUGAACUCAUGACCCCUGCAACUAUUUUCCUCUUUUUCCUCUUUCUUAUCUUUUUAUUUUUGGGCCGCACCUCGGCGGAUUUGGUCACCGGCGAGCGACCUUUUUUUUUAUGAUUGAACCGCCCUCAUUUUUUCUUCAAAAAAAUGGCCAGAUCCGACUUAUGCCUCAUUUUCUGGCGUUGCUUCGGCGAUCGUCAUUGAAGCAACGUCAGCACUAUCAC